RNAcentral lists this ribosomal RNA (642 nucleotides) under uncultured bacterium. Its description in RNAcentral is "bacterial SSU rRNA". It matches the Rfam family "Bacterial small subunit ribosomal RNA", at positions 232 to 884 of the family's 1533-position model. The record is from RNAcentral.
CGCGGCCUAUCAGCUUGUUGGUGGGGUGAUGGCCUACCAAGGCGACGACGGGUAGCCGGCCUGAGAGGGCGACCGGCCACACAGGGACUGAGACACGGCCCAGACUCCUACGGGAGGCAGCAGUGGGGAAUAUUGCACAAUGGGCGGAAGCCUGAUGCAGCGACGCCGCGUGAGGGAUGACGGCCUUCGGGUUGUAAACCUCUUUCAGCAGGGACGAAGCGUGAGUGACGGUACCUGCAGAAGAAGCGCCGGCCAACUACGUGCCAGCAGCCGCGGUAAGACGUAGGGCGCGAGCGUUGUCCGGAUUUAUUGGGCGUAAAGAGCUCGUAGGCGGCUUGUCGCGUCGUCCGUGAAAACUUGGGGCUCAACUCCAAGCUUGCGGUCGAUACGGGCAGGCUAGAGUUCGGUAGGGGAGACUGGAACUCCUGGUGUAGCGGUGAAAUGCGCAGAUAUCAGGAGGAACACCGGUGGCGAAGGCGGGUCUCUGGGCCGAUACUGACGCUGAGGAGCGAAAGCGUGGGGAGCGAACAGGAUUAGAUACCCUGGUAGUCCACGCUGUAAACGUUGGGCGCUAGGUGUGGGGGGCCUCUCCGGUUCUCUGUGCCGCAGCUAACGCAUUAAGCGCCCCGCCUGGGGAGUACG